Molecule: long non-coding RNA, 799 nt
Filed under: Lathyrus oleraceus (garden pea)
Lineage: Eukaryota; Viridiplantae; Streptophyta; Magnoliopsida; Fabales; Fabaceae
Description: Pisum sativum (pea) long non-coding RNA (PSAT_LNC031548)
Source: RNAcentral
GACCAACAAAAGUCUUAGAAUUAUGUAGCAUAACCAUGUCCUUUAGGUUGGUAACAAGCAUAAGCACAGGCUUUGCAUCAGAGGUGACAUCCUGGUACAACAAGGGUCCACAUGUUGUAGAAUUUUCUUCUUGUGAUCAUCAUCAAACCACAUCCCUGCAUAAACUAGAAACAAAUGAAGGUUGGCAAUUGGAAUCAGUGUAGAGUGGAAUAUGUUCACAACCAAACUCAGUGACACAAAACCUGGUCAAAAUAGAUCAAGCAUGCUUGCAGCCAAGCCUUGAAGCAGUUAAAAUCCACCAGCCUACGACACUCCACACUGCUCAAGACCAUUGAUGCCGAUUUAGUUCAGAGCAACAUAAGGUUGUCUAACAUCAUUCAAUCUCUAUGGCCAACCCAAGAGGUUUAUGACAACCUAGUUAGGGGACACAAUGCAGUCCAUCAUCACCAGUUAUUUGCAGUAGUUUGCAGCACAAGAUGCAUCAACUGUGGUAUCAUGAACAAUGGAAACAGGAGCAGGUCAGAAGCAUAAUGUAGAACUUGACCAUACAUCAUGGUUCAAUUCCAAACCUUCCAAUCUAGCCUAACUUAAACCUACAACAAAUCACAAAGUUAGCAACAGGCAUAAUAUUCACAAGUCAACUCCAAUUUAAAACCAAUAGCAUGGAAAGCUAACCUUCAGUUCCAACCUUGACAGCAUCAGCAACAUCAAACCAAUAAUGCACAAUCACAUGCCAAGCUCAUGAUGCAAGUCUAUCCAUCACAUAACCAUGACAUCCACAUACCUGUCAUCAUUCAAU